CCUACGGGUGGCUGCAGUGGGGAAUAUUGGACAAUGGGCGCAAGCCUGAUCCAGCCAUGCCGCGUGAGUGAUGAAGGCCUUAGGGUUGUAAAGCUCUUUCAGUAGGGAAGCGGUACCUACAGAAGAAGCCCCGGCUAACUUCGUGCCAGCAGCCGCGGUAAUACGAAGGGGGCUAGCGUUGUUCGGAUUUACUGGGCGUAAAGCGCACGUAGGCGGAUUGGUCAGUUAGGGGUGAAAUCCCAGAGCUCAACUCUGGAACUGCCCUUAAUACUGCCAGUCUAGAGUCCGGAAGAGGUGAGUGGAACUCCUAGUGUAGAGGUGGAAUUCGUAGAUAUUAGGAAGAACACCAGUGGCGAAGGCGGCUCACUGGUCCGGACUGACGCUGAGGUGCGAAGCGUGGGGAGCAACAGGAUUAGAUACCCUUGUAGUC
RNAcentral lists this ribosomal RNA (430 nucleotides) under uncultured bacterium. RNAcentral describes it as "partial 16S ribosomal RNA". It matches the Rfam family "Bacterial small subunit ribosomal RNA", at positions 338 to 795 of the family's 1533-position model. The record is from RNAcentral.